CGCAGGCGGUUUGUUAAGCGAGAUGUGAAAGCCCCGGGCUCAACCUGGGAACUGCAUUUCGAACUGGCAAACUAGAGUGUGAUAGAGGGUGGURGAAUUUCAGGUGUAGCGGUGAAAUGCGUAGAGAUCUGAAGGAAUACCGAUGGCGAAGGCAGCCACCUGGRUCAACACUGACGCUCAUGUACGAAAGCGUGGGGAGCAAACAGGAUUAGAUACCCUGGUAGUCCACGCCGUAAACGAUGUCUACUAGAAGCUCGGAUCCUCG
RNAcentral lists this ribosomal RNA (265 nucleotides) under uncultured Pseudoalteromonas sp. Its description in RNAcentral is "partial 16S ribosomal RNA". It matches the Rfam family "Bacterial small subunit ribosomal RNA", at positions 570 to 834 of the family's 1533-position model. The record is from RNAcentral. Lineage: Bacteria; Pseudomonadati; Pseudomonadota; Gammaproteobacteria; Alteromonadales; Pseudoalteromonadaceae.